This 1298-nucleotide long non-coding RNA is filed under the name Homo sapiens (human). RNAcentral's name for it is "HSALNT0206940". Lineage: Eukaryota; Metazoa; Chordata; Mammalia; Primates; Hominidae. The record is from RNAcentral.
UGCAAGAAUAGCACAAAGAAUUUCUGUAGAUACUUCACCUAGAUUCGCCAAUUGCUGAUACUUGCUUUAUGGUCUCUCUCCUUCCAUAUGUAUGUAAUAUACACAUUAUUUUUCUGACAAUUUCAGAGUAAGUCACAGUCAUGAUGUUCCUUUAUCCCUAAAGAUUCCAGUAAGUAUGCACUAAGAGUAAAGACAUCCUCUUAGUAACUACAGGCACAGUUAUCAAAAUCAGAAAAAGAAUGUAAAAAUAAUACAUGUACAAUACUGUUUUCUAUUCCUCAGACUUUAUUUAUUGUUUUACCAAUCAAUUGUUCCAAUAACAUGUUUUUAUGCAAAAACAUUCUGCUCCAGGAUCCAGUCCAGGGUCACAUGUUGUACUUAUUUCCUAGGUCUCUUCAGUUUUCUUUAAUCUGGGGGAUUCUUUAGUCUGGCUUUCUCUUUUGAGACCUUGACAUUUUGACCACGAUUUUGUAGCAUUUCCUCACCUAGGGGUUGUCUCAUGUUUCUUCCUGAUUAAACUGAGGUUGUGAAUUUCUGGCAGGAGAACCACAGAAGUGAGAUGAUGCCCUUUUCAGAGCAACGUCAGGAACACAUGCUUCCCAGCGCCACACAGUUAAGGAGAUGUCUGACAGUCCUCUUUUCUGUACAGAGUCCAGGUUCCUGAGAGUGAAGAAUGAUGUUCAAAAACCAAGAUCUGUGAGUCACGUAAGCUUUCUGAAACAGCUUGUCAUUUUUCACAAACAGAUCUGUUUGAAUUGUGGUGGGAUUUCAGUGACCUGUAGAAUACUUUAGGGAGUGUUGAUAGUUUUACAAAAACGAGGCUUCCUCUUGUUAAACUCUCCAUUUUAUGAGGUUUUCUUCAAUUUGUCACUCUUGUAGUUUAUGGUUUUCCAUCUAGAGAUACUGUGUGUCAAUCAGAUUUAUUCCUAACUUUUUGAUGUUCUUUCAAUACUAUUUUAACUUGUUUUAGCUCUUCUAAAACUGAUUUUCUUACUGUUUAUUAUUGAUAUAUGGAAAUAUAGUUGAUUUUUGCCUGUUGGUCUUAUGUCUAAUAAACCAAUUUACUGGUUCUGAUAAUUUAUUCGUAGAUUAUUUUGGAUGGUCUACACACGCAAUUAUAUUUCCUGAGAAAAUGGCAGUUUUAUUUCUUCCUUUUUGAUACUUAAACAUUUAGCAUCUUUUUCACACCUUUCUGCACUGGCAGGACAUUCAGAACAAGGCUGAAAAGAGAAAGAGAGAGAAGGCAUUCUUAUCUUCUCACAGUCUUCAAGGGAAAGCUCUCAGCAUUUCAUAAUUGA